UGCAAGUCGUGCGAGAAGUUGCCUUCGGGCAGCGAGUAAAGCGGCGCACGGGUGAGUAACGCGUGGGCAAUCUGCCCAAGGGUCUGGAAUAACAUCGGGAAACUGGUGCUAAUGCCGGAUAACACCACGAUGACUUCGGUCGAUGUGGAAAAAGGUGGCCUCUUCUUGAAAGCUAUCGCCCCUGGAUGAGCCCGCGUUCCAUUAGCUUGUUGGUGAGGUAACGGCUCACCAAGGCUACGAUGGAUAGCUGGUCUGAGAGGAUGAUCAGCCACACUGGGACUGAGACACGGCCCAGACUCCUACGGGAGGCAGCAGUCGGGAAUUUUGGGCAAUGGGCGAAAGCCUGACCCAGCAACGCCGCGUGAAGGAUGAAGGCCUUCGGGUCGUAAACUUCUGUCGGAAGGGAAGAAAGGUCGACCUUCAAACAGGUGGUCGGCUUGACGGUACCUUUAGAGGAAGCACCGGCUAACUCCGUGCCAGCAGCCGCGGUAAUACGGAGGGUGCAAGCGUUGUUCGGAAUUACUGGGCGUAAAGCGCGUGUAGGCGGCUUCGUCAGUCGGAUGUGAAAUCCCAGGGCCCAACCCUGGAACUGCAUCCGAUACUGCGAGGCUUGAGUUCUGGAGGGGAUGGCGGAAUUCCGGGUGUAGAGGUGAAAUUCGUAUAUAUCGGGAGGAAUACCAGUCAGCGAAGGCGGCACUCUGGGCCACAACUGACGCUGAGGAGCGAAAGCGUGGGUAGCGAACAGGAUUAGAUACCCUGGUAGUCCACGCCGUAAACGGUGGGCAU
Molecule: ribosomal RNA, 786 nt
Filed under: uncultured bacterium
Lineage: Bacteria
Description: bacterial SSU rRNA
Rfam family: Bacterial small subunit ribosomal RNA
Source: RNAcentral